Molecule: ribosomal RNA, 887 nt
Filed under: Colletotrichum trichellum
Lineage: Eukaryota; Fungi; Ascomycota; Sordariomycetes; Glomerellales; Glomerellaceae
Description: LSU rRNA
Rfam family: Eukaryotic large subunit ribosomal RNA
Source: RNAcentral
GCAUAUCAAUAAGCGGAGGAAAAGAAACCAACAGGGAUUGCCYCMGUMACGGCGAGUGAAGCGGCAACAGCUCAAAUUUGAAAUCUGGCCCCAGGCCCGAGUUGUAAUUUGCAGAGGAUGCUUUUGGCGCGGUGCCUUCCGAGUUCCCUGGAACGGGACGCCAUAGAGGGUGAGAGCCCCGUACGGUUGGACACCAAGSCUUUGUAAAGCUCCUUCGACGAGUCGAGUAGUUUGGGAAUGCUGCUCWAAAUGGGAGGUAUAUUUCUUCUAAAGCUAAAUAUWGGCCAGAGACCGAUAGCGCACAAGUAGAGUGAUCGAAAGAUGAAAAGCACUUUGAAAAGAGGGUUAAACAGCACGUGAAAUUGUURAAAGGGAAGCGCUUGUGACCAGACUUGCGYCCGGUGAAUCACCCAGCUCUCGCGGCUGGGGCACUUUGCCGGCACAGGCCAGCAUCAGCUCGCUGUCGGGGACAAAAGCUUCGGGAACGUAGCUCUCUUCGGGGAGUGUUAUAGCCCGUUGCAUAAUACCCUUCGGUGGGCUGAGGUACGCGCUCCGCAAGGAUGCUGGCGUAAUGGUCAUCAGCGACCCGUCUUGAAACACGGACCAAGGAGUCAACCUUAUGUGCGAGUGUUUGGGUGUYAAACCCCUACGCGUAAUGAAAGUGAACGCAGGUGAGAGCUUCGGCGCAUCAUCGACCGAUCCUGAUGUUCUCGGAUGGAUUUGAGUAAGAGCAUAUAGGGUUGGACCCGAAAGAAGGUGAACUAUGCGUGUAUAGGGUGAAGCCAGAGGAAACUCUGGUGGAGGCUCGCAGCGGUUCUGACGUGCAAAUCGAUCGUCAAAUAUGCGCAUGGGGGCGAAAGACUAAUCGAACCUUCUAGUAGCUGGUU